GACGAACGCUGGCGGCGUGCUUUAGGCAUGCAAGUCGAACGCGAAAGCCCCUUCGGGGGUGAGUAGAGUGGCGAACGGGUGAGUAGCACGUGGGUAACCUGCCCCUCGCAGGGGGAUAACCGGGGGAAAUCCCGGCUAAUACCCCGUACGCUUGCUGGGGCGCAUGCUCCGGCAAGGAAAGGUAGCUUCGGCCAUCCGGCGAGGGAGGGGCCCGCGGCCCAUUAGCUAGUUGGUGGGGUAACGGCCCACCAAGGCGACGAUGGGUAGCUGGCCUGAGAGGGUGGUCAGCCACACUGGGACUGAGACACGGCCCAGACUCCUACGGGAGGCAGCAGCCAGGAAUCUUGCGCAAUGGGCGAAAGCCUGACGCAGCAACGCCGCGUGGGCGAUGAAGGCCUUCGGGUCGUAAAGCCCUGUUGUCGGGGACGAAGGGCGAAGGGUUAAUAGCCCCUAGCCUGACGGUACCCGACGAGGAAGCCCCGGCUAACUACGUG
This 494-nucleotide ribosomal RNA is filed under the name uncultured bacterium. RNAcentral describes it as "partial 16S ribosomal RNA". It matches the Rfam family "Bacterial small subunit ribosomal RNA", at positions 28 to 507 of the family's 1533-position model. The record is from RNAcentral.